RNAcentral lists this long non-coding RNA (1303 nucleotides) under Marmota monax (woodchuck). The record is from RNAcentral. Lineage: Eukaryota; Metazoa; Chordata; Mammalia; Rodentia; Sciuridae.
AUUCCAUUCAUCUAUAUUUACCUAGAAAACAUAUAUUAAGACCUAUUUUGAAACAGAGACACACAGGCUUAAAAGGUAAGUAAUGUGCAGGAGCCCAAGAACUUACAGUCUGCCAAGGGAAAGUAGCUUAUAAACACAGGAGUUAAAACUGUGUAAGCACACACUUUAUUAUUUUUUGUAAUGACCUCAUAUUGUAUAGAAAUGAUUGUCCCUAAUCAUUUGUUCUCACCUUGUUCUCAAGUUUUCCCCUGCAUCCUCUGUCCUUAUUUUUCUAUCUCAGUAACUGAUUAUUACUGUCAGCAGGGAUCUCCUAACUAGCAUUAAGGUAAGUGGUAGCUUGAGAUGACCCAUGUGACACAUAAAGAGGGCGAUGCCUUAGAUUGUUCAAUUUCUUUCUUUUCUUCUACACAUCUGUUAAGGUUUGACUCAUCUAAGGUUACAGACCCAUCUAGAGGAAGGAUGGAGUCUUCAAAUUCCCUACUUAUGAUUUUGUCCUAGUUUCAUCUUGCCUUAAAAGCAGCACAAGGAGGACUAGGGAUAUUUGUCCAAAUCCCUUGGGAGAAAGAUUAAUUUUGAAAGGACUUCAAAUAGCCAUAAGCUAUAUAUUAUGUGACUGAUACUUAGAAAACUCAGCACCUGUCUGAUUUGAGUUUCUUCUUUCCAUAUUUCAGUAUUAUCUUGUCCUAGAUUGUGGGGCAGCCUUGUUUUGGCAACUUGUUAGUGGUUUCUGUCUUGGGGUCCCUAUAGCUCUUCAGCACUGAAGGAUGUGUUUAAAAACUUACAUGUGGAAGUGUUUAGACAUAUACAAAAGUAGAAAGAAUAAUAAAGUGAACUCCCAGCUUUAACUGUGAUCUCUGUUUUCUUUUGCAGGGCUAGGGAUUGAACCCAGGUCCUCUCACAUACUAGGGAAGUGCUCUGCUGAUGAGCUACAUCCCCAUCCCCUUGUGAUCCCUGUGUUCUGAGACAAGUUUUUGUUUUUCAAAAAGCAUGAUGUAAAUUUUUAUACUUACUGCAGAAAGCCUGUUUGUGUAUAAUUUAGCCAUUUCAGUAGCACAAAGAAAUGAGAACUUGUUCAGGCUCACAGGUCUGAGUCACCUGGGAUAUUCUGUUCAGUGAGUUUCCCUCAAUUGUGAUUAGUGGUCUCCCUGAGGAAUGUUGAUGUGGUAAUGGCAGUGUAUAAAUGAGCAAGCAGAAGUAUGAGGGACCACUUUAAGUCUAUACUCAAAACUGGCACUCUCAGCCAGGCAUGAUGGCACACACCUGUAAUCCCAGCAGCUCAGGAGGCUGAGACAGGAGAAUCGUG